GCCGAGGUCCUCUUCUAGGAUUGGUUGUCCACUCAUAACCAUAAGAUAAUUAAAACGGGGGGGGGCAGGGUAAAAAAAAAACCCUUUUAUCAGCCAUAGGUUAAUGCAAGUGUUUAACAGAUGCUUCGCUAUUAAAAUAUUUCCCCCCAAUACUGAAGAAUCUUAAACCAGCAACCCUAACAGAGAUUGCGAAGAUUUUCAAAGUGGGGCACCUCGAUUUCUCGAAUCUGUGGUGUGGCGAAUAUCCGUGUUCCUCCUGCUUAACUAGCCUGUUUGCAUCUUUUGACACAUUUUACUUCCGUAAUUUCGGACUGCCAGAAGGCACAGUUCAUUCUCGAGCAAUUCGUCACCUCCUGGGGGUCUUCUCUUCCCGUCUACAGGAGAGUGUGACUUCAGAAAGAACUUCGGAUUGGCCAAGGCCAUUAAAGCUGGUGAGCGACUUGGAAGUCAUUUAGAAAGGAACAGACCUUCAACCUCAAGCCUUUGCGGGCACUGGGAAAGUGUCUUCCCAAUCAAUCUGGCUUGCAGGCGGCAGGACCAACUCUGACCUGGCUUAUCUUGUACCCAUCCUAAAUACACCAAACUCAAGAGGUAGCCAGGGCCGCCUCAACACCGAGGCAGGUCUGAUUCUAUUUAUUCUAAAGACAGAGUUGGAGAUGGGCUACCAUUGGUGUUGAUUGAGAUGACAAGCAGUCACCUGAGCCCAUACAGCUGGGUUCACAGAUGUGGCUAGUCUUGCUAGCCAGCUCGCACUGUGGACAUUCUAGGGAACUGACUGCAGUCCUCAUGCUUGGAGUCAAACACUUUAACCACUGCACACGUUUAUGUAAUAGGAUUGACAUAUGAGAAUCAGAGAAAUGAAUGAAAGAUUAGAGUGGGAGAAAGUGCUUGCUGCCAAGCUUGAUGACCUAAAUUGAAUACCUGGAACCUACACGACAGAAAGAGAGAGCUGACUGCUGAAAGAUGUCCUCAGAUCUUCACAUGUGCACAGUGGCACCUAUCCAACCAUGCACAUAGUAUAUUAAAAAUUAUUUUUUAAAAAAUCCA
Molecule: long non-coding RNA, 1047 nt
Filed under: Mus musculus (house mouse)
Lineage: Eukaryota; Metazoa; Chordata; Mammalia; Rodentia; Muridae
Description: Hand2, opposite strand 1
Source: RNAcentral